CAGGCCCCCUCCCGCCUUUGUCUGAAGCCCCGUGAAUUAUGCAGGAGGCCGCGGGAAGGGAGCGCGGCGCAGGAUCGCUCCAUUAUUGAUGAGCGACGAGGAUCCUCCGCUGACAGCCUGCCGGAGAGAUAUGAUUAGCUUGUAAAAAAUUAAUGGCCGUUCUUGGGGAGGACACAGAUUGAAACCCCGAGGAGUGUAUUAUCCAUGUUCCUAAUUUCAGGGGACUCUGAGAAGGUCUCAGCGCGCUGCGGCGCAGACAAUUAAAUUCAAUUAGGAUCACAAGUGUUGAAAUGUCACCCCCUCCUGGGGGCGGGGCUGGGGGAGGGGACGGUGGUGGGGUCCUCCUGGGCGCUGUGCCGCUGCGGAGCCCCGCCCCCUCUGUCCCUGCUCCAGGUGAUCUCAUGCUCACCUAUGGCUCCUGUUGCCACCUAAACCCGAUGACGCACACGUUUCCGGCUCCCGCCUGGACUUCUCCCCAAAGCUAGGCUUCCACACGGUCAGCGGCUGCCCCAACACCUCCUGGGACGCCCCAAGGGCACCUCCACGUUGCCAGGCGUGGCGGCCAGUCCCCACCGUCCUGCCCUGGGCCCGGCCCUCUCUCAGGAUUCUCUCUGGGAAGGGCCCACCUGAACCAAACCCCAGAGGAGCCUUUGGAAUCCCAGCUGCCCGCUCCCUGUCACUGCCUCGGUCCCCACGCUCUGGCUCACCUGCUGGACUAGUGAGGCCCUGCACCUCCCCCCCCCACCCCAUCCUCUGGGCCUCUCUGAUCUCUCCCAGAUCUGAGUGGACGGGGCUCCAGGAUGCGAGGCCUACACUCUGGCACCGUCUGGGCGCAUUAUGGCUGCCGCCGGGGCUCCUCUGAUGUUGGGGAGUGGGGCAGGGGUGUUGGGCAGGAGCACGGCCCAGGAGGGCACCUCCCCAAGCCCCCACCACUAGGCAGGACUGAUGCUAAGGACCAGCCCCUGCCCCGGGGGGACCACAACUCUGGGGUUCCCUUUGGUUCCUGGGCUGUCCCAGCAGAUGGAGCCCAGGGGACCCUGGUGCACCCUCCCACGCUCCACCCCAGGGGGCCCUGUCAGCUCUGGUUUCCGUGACACACUCCACUCCGCAUGCUGAUCUCCCCAACACACAUCCAAGGGCAAAGUCCCCUCGCUGAAGGCCUCCAGGACUUCCUGCAGCUCUCAGGGUGGAUGAAAACCCCAAAUGCCCGGAUGGAGGUCAGGACUCCGAAUCUGGCACCUGACCUUGGAGAAGGCGGCAGAAGCAGCCAGCCACGCUCCCCAGGAAGGAUCUGCAGCCUUCCCCUGCGUCAGGGCAUGGGGUCCUCCCUGGAGGUGCCUCCCUGUCCCCAGAGGAGAGGAGGGUCCCUACC
Molecule: long non-coding RNA, 1372 nt
Filed under: Marmota monax (woodchuck)
Lineage: Eukaryota; Metazoa; Chordata; Mammalia; Rodentia; Sciuridae
Source: RNAcentral